Molecule: small RNA, 5280 nt
Filed under: Mytilus galloprovincialis (Mediterranean mussel)
Lineage: Eukaryota; Metazoa; Mollusca; Bivalvia; Mytilida; Mytilidae
Source: RNAcentral
AUGCCAAAUAUGCAGACAGACGGGACAUUCGGCAAAAGAAUGCGGUCAACUUCAGAAGGGAAACUCUUUCCUCCUGGGGGCCACACAGCACGCUCCCCUAGGAGACCGUCCAUAAGUGCUUCAAGAAUUCGGAGUAGAUCUAGAUCUCGUGUAAAUAAAUGUAUGAAUGUAAAUAAAGAUUUUUGUGUUGAGAAUAUGACAUUGUAUACUGGUGAAAAUGAUGUAAUUACGUCAUCCGAAAAUGAUUCUGGUACUGAUUCCUUCAUUUCUUCGGACUCUAAAUUUUUAUAUUUAACUGUUCGUUUUGAUUCUUUGAAAGUUUCUGCAUUGGUUGAUACAGGAAGUUCAGUGAACAUUAUUUCAGAACAACUUUAUGAUUCGUUGCCGUAUAGUAAGAAGUCAGAUUUUAAUGCAGAUGUUCGUGAGUCCAUUGUUUUAGCUAACAGUCAAAAGAUUGAAGUUGUUGGUACGGCUUACGUACAAAUGAAUAUUUCAAGAGCCAAUCAUCGUGUUUUUACUUAUAUUUUGAAAAUGUCAUCACAUCCUAUUAUUUUGGGAACAAACUAUUUAAUUGCGAAUAAAAUGGUGAUUGAUUUUAGUGAAAUGUCCGCUGUUCCAAAAACAUCAAAUGUAUAUUGUACAAAAAGGACAACGAUUUUACCACAUACAGAGACAAUUAUAUGGGGAAAAGUUCCGUCAAAUAUUUAUUAUGGAAAACAAGGAAUUUGUACGUCUAGUAAAUAUAUUGUAUCUAGAGGAUUGGUUAUUUCUAAAGGAGUCGUUUCUGUGUCAAAAGGUAGACUUAUUCCAAUUAAAAUAUUAAAUCCAAACAGUUGUAGUAUUGACUUGUAUAAAGGAAAAACAUUAGCUAUGUUUGACGAAAUUACAUCUGAACACUCGCUUCUUCCGUUCAACGAUACUACAGAUCAUUGCGUUCAAAACGUGAAUUUGAUAAACGAUACAAAUAGUGUAAACAGUAAAAGUGACCCGGUUAAGCUUGAUUCUACUGUACAAUCUGAGAACAACAACACGUUUAACAGUGAAAUCACGGAUUUUAUUGCGAAUUUUCUGUUUGAAAAAUCUAAUUUGGACAAAGUUCAGCGUAACGAUUUACACAAGUUUUUGUACAAGCAAUAAAGACAUUUUUGUGACAAAGUCAGAUCCUGCUUUAGGAUUCACGGAUUUAGUUAAACAUAAAAUACUGUUGAAACCUGAUGCCAAACCGAAGUAUCAGAAACCUUAUCGUUUGUCGCCCGAUAAAAAGGACGUUUUAAGGCAUCAUUUGGACAAUUUGCUUGAGCAAGGAAUUAUUUCUCCUGUAUUUCCAGAUGAAGACCUACCGAUAACAAGUCCGAUUGUGCUAGUUACUAAGCGUGUACAUGGAACAAAACAAGGACCUCCAUAUGACAAAGACUCCAGUCUUUCGCAAUUUCGUUUUUGCUGCGACUUCAGAUAUCUAAAUUCUCAGUGUAAAAUUUUCUCAUAUAAUAUACCGGAUUUACAAGACUUAACAGAAUCUUUUUCACAAAGAAAACCAAAUUUCAUAACAUCCAUUGACAUGAGUUCCGGAUUUUUCCAAAUGAAAAUAGACCCUUCAAGUUCGAAAUAUACGGCUUUCAAUACAUGUUUUGGGACAUACAAAUUCAAUCGAUUACCCAUGGGACUUAGCUCAGCACCGAACUCGUUUCAACUUUUAAUGGACAAAGUUUUGUCCGGACUAACUUUCAGGUCAUGUCUUUGCUAUUUGGACGAUGUGUUAAUCUGUUCAGAGACAUUUCAAGAACAUAUUAAUGACUUGACCGAUGUAUUCAAUCGUUUUAGAAGUGCUGGUCUUAAACUGAACCCGAAAAAGUGUCAAUUUGCAGAACAGUCAUGUAUAUUUCUUGGACACCAUAUUUCGUCAAAAGGAAUAAAACCGCCCCCAGAUCGUGUUCAAGCUUUACAAACAUAUCCGUCACCUCGAAAUUUAAAAGAACUCCGCAGAGCUUUAGGUUUAUUUGGAUGGUUCCGAAAGUUUAUACCGAACUAUAGUGAAAUAACUCAAUCAUUGACAAAAUUAUUGCGAAAAGGUGCCUUAUUUCAAUGGAACAAAGAACAAGAAACGGCAUUAAAUGCACUUAAAACACGUUUACUCAACUCGGAAAUCUUAGCCUUUCCUCAAUUUAACCUUCCGUUUUAUUUGGCCGUUGAUUCAUCUUCAAAAGGGAUAGGAUAUAUGUUGUACCAAAAACAUCCUGAUGAAAAUAAAAACAUUGAAAAAGUUAGAGUAGUCCGUUUUGGUUCGAAAGCUUUAAAUCAUUGGCAAAGGUCAUACGGUCCAACUAAACUCGAGCUAUUAGGAGUCGUUACAAGCGUUACUGAUUGUUCAAGUUACCUAAGAGGCAAUGAAUUCAUCGUUGAGUGUGACCACAAGGCAUUGCGACCGCUAAUUGAAAAACAACUGAAAGGAGCGAUAUAUGAUCGUUGGCUUGCAAUAUUACAACAGUACAAUUUCGAAAUUCGUUACAAACCAGCCGCGCAAAUGCAAGUACCGGAUGCAUUAUCUCGUUGUAUUGGAAGUGAUGUGUCCGGUGAGAAUUCAAGUCCGGCGGAAGAUGACCUCUUUUUUCCCGUAUGUUCAGGAAACGACAGGACAAAUUAGUAUUUCGAAUCCCGUUGAGAACAAUACACAAACUUUAAACUUUAUCGACUUUGAAACAGAAGAAACCGAUCAUGACGCAGGAUAUACAGCCGAUACCGAAGAUGAAUAUAUUUCUCCAAAAUUUAGCGAAAAUCAUUGCGUUAGUACAGUAUUUACAUUGCCUAAAUAUAGACCGAUUGAGCAGACCGAGGACAAAGUGAAUCAUAUUGAAUCUUUCGGUUCUCCGUGUGAAGAUACAACUGCGCUUUUGAAACCGACGUUGCAACAAAAAUGUAAACAUUCCGCCGAUGCUCAGGACGUAGCAAAGGUGGAAACUGAAUGUAUUACUGAAGAUCAAUGUUUUGCACUUAACAACAUAGACAAUAUUAGUAUGUUAAAACCGUUGGAAGCCAUAGAUAGUCCUUAUUUGAUAAAUGAGAGUGCUCAUGAUAAACAAGGCAAUGUUUUGCAUGAGUUUGACCCUUUGAAAGUUAAGACACAAGAUGAACCAUUAAACGACGAAAUAGAUUGCAGUUCCGCGUUGAACUUGCACGAGCGUGAAUGGUUGAAAUUCACAAAUGCUUCUAAUUUAAAUGACAUUUCUGUAAAUGCAGUGCAGAAAAUUUUAUUAGGUGAAAAAAGUGACAAUGAACUUACAAAUGAAAGUCAAAAGAAUAAUGAUAUAUCGACAGAGGACGAUACAUCGAUUGAAAAUAAACCUGUUCCGAUAGUUUCAAGUGACGAGGAACUUGUAAAACGAAGUAUAGAACUAUUUAAGCGAAGCGAUUUUAGUCCAGAUAGUGUGAAAGAAUUGCAACAAAAUGAUGUUAAUUUACGACAAAUUAUUAACUAUCUUGAAAAUGGAAUUUUGCCACAUUUACAACGAGAUGCACGACGGCUUAUACUACGUUCUGCAGAUUAUUUACUGAUGAAUAAUUUGCUUUUUCACAACCGAAAUGCUAAGUGCAAACGAACUAGAGACCACAAGCCAAAAUAUCAGUUAGCUUUACCGAAAAUACUCAUAAGACCAAUUAUGGAAAUUUUUCACGAUUCGCCUAUGGGAGGCCAUGGAGGCAUACAAAACACUAUAGAUUUAAUAAGUGAGCAUUUUUAUUUCGACAAAUUGCCAUCUCUUGUAACCGAAUAUGUCAAAUCCUGUCAUGACUGUCAAUCUAGAAAAAUGACAAAAGCUCAUACUAAAACUGGAAUUAUAUCGUACCGUACACCUUCUGGACCAUUUCAAAUAUGGCAAGUUGACCUCUAUGGACCUUUACCGACAUCACAAAGAUCGUAUACACACAUUUUAUCAGCUAUAGAUAUGUUCAGUAAAUUUGUAUAUAAUGUGCCUAUUCCAAACUGUGACGCAAUGACAGUUUCAUAUGCUCUUUUUGAUAUGUUUUGUCAAUUUGGUGUUUGUGAUACAAUUAUAUCUGACAAUGGAAGUGAGUUCAUUUCAAACUGUACUAAGGAAGUUUGUAAAUUGCUUGAAAUUCGUCAAAAUUUUACGCCCAGUAUGAUACAUCAUUGUUUAGGAGCAUGCGAGAGAACUCAUCGAACGUUAGCCGAGAGACUAACUCCAUACAUUCAAAAGGGAACGCAAUGGGACAGUGUACUACCUGCCGUUACGUUUUCUAUGAACGCUUCGAUAAAUUCCUCUACAAAAUAUUCGCCUUAUGAGAUUAUAUACGGAACAAGACCUAAAUUUCCGCUUUGUUUGUCACAUCAAACCGAUUUCUCAACUUUACCUGACGAUUAUCGUGACUAUGUAGAAAAACAGGCCAAAAAGUUAGAUAUAAUUAGAGAAGAAAUUCGUACAAAUGCACAACGAUCAGGAGAACUUAUGAUGGAUCGAUAUAACAAAAAGACUAAUCCGUUGUAUUUAUCUGUUGGAGACUAUGUAUAUAUGCUUAAAGAACCGAGUGGCCCAGGACGAAAGUUUCAACCAAAAUACAGUGGACCCUUUAUCGUAAACGCUAUAAAAUCACCUCACAUUGUGAAUCUUAAAGAACCAUCUUCCGGCAAAAUUCUUAAAUAUGACACACAUUUGGAUAGACUAAAAAUUGCAUAUGUUCGUGCACCCGAACCGUCAGACUAUUUUUUAUCAAAAGUUCAUACAGCCGAAAUUAACCGUGAAUCAGAUGAUCCUACUACAGACAGUGAUUCAGAACAUACAGAAGCUAUCCCACCGUUACCACAGACUCAACCGGUUGUCAGACGUUCAACACGAACUAGAAAACGUCCUAUUCGUUUUCAACUUUCCACUUUAGAUACAAACUCGUCCGAUGAAUUUACGACCCAAUCAGACACUUAUUAUAAAGUUAAGAGAAUUUUGUCUCAACGUAAAAUAAAUGGAAAAACUGAAUACCGUGUGCAAUUUAAAGGUGAACCGGCACAAAAUGCGUUGUGGAUUCCAUUUGAACAGCUAAAUGAACAUACAAAGAAGAUGGUACAGUCCAAACCACCGCCAUGUGCUAACUAAUUGUGUAUUUUUUUUAUGAACAUUAAUAAAUUAUGUUUUAUGGCAUUUAAAACCAUGUUAAUUUUUGACAAGAACUAUUUCAAGGACUAAAUUCUUUAAAAGAACAAUGUGUUUAAUUUUAAUUUCGUUUAACAGUAAUAAAUAUGUGUAUAAAUUGAUAGUGAAAUUUUUGUGAGAAAAG